This 1064-nucleotide ribosomal RNA is filed under the name uncultured Pseudoalteromonas sp. RNAcentral's name for it is "bacterial SSU rRNA". It matches the Rfam family "Bacterial small subunit ribosomal RNA", at positions 120 to 1174 of the family's 1533-position model. Lineage: Bacteria; Pseudomonadati; Pseudomonadota; Gammaproteobacteria; Alteromonadales; Pseudoalteromonadaceae. The record is from RNAcentral.
GGCCAUUUUUUUUAAGGUGGGGGAACAGUUGGAACGACUGCUAAUACCGCAUAAUGUCUACGGACCAAAGGGUGCCUUCGGCUCUCGCCUUUAGAUUGGCCCAAGUGGGAUUAGCUAGUUGGUGAGGUAAUGGCUCACCAAGGCGACGAUCCCUAGCUGGUUUGAGAGGAUGAUCAGCCACACUGGGACUGAGACACGGCCCAGACUCCUACGGGAGGCAGCAGUGGGGAAUAUUGCACAAUGGGCGCAAGCCUGAUGCAGCCAUGCCGCGUGUGUGAAGAAGGCCUUCGGGUUGUAAAGCACUUUCAGUCAGGAGGAAAGGUUAGUAGUUAAUACCUGCUAGCUGUGACGUUACUGACAGAAGAAGCACCGGCUAACUCCGUGCCAGCAGCCGCGGUAAUACGGAGGGUGCGAGCGUUAAUCGGAAUUACUGGGCGUAAAGCGUACGCAGGCGGUUUGUUAAGCGAGAUGUGAAAGCCCCGGGCUCAACCUGGGAACUGCAUUUCGAACUGGCAAACUAGAGUGUGAUAGAGGGUGGUAGAAUUUCAGGUGUAGCGGUGAAAUGCGUAGAGAUCUGAAGGAAUACCGAUGGCGAAGGCAGCCACCUGGGUCAACAUUGACGCUCAUGUACGAAAGCGUGGGGAGCAAACGGGAUUAGAUACCCCGGUAGUCCACGCCGUAAACGAUGUCUACUAGAAGCUCGGAGCCUCGGUUCUGUUUUUCAAAGCUAACGCAUUAAGUAGACCGCCCUGGGGAGUACGGCCGCAAGGUUAAAACUCAAAUGAAUUGACGGGGGCCCGCCACAAGCGGUGGAGCAUGGUGGUUUAAUUUCGAUGCAACGCGAAGAACCUUACCCUAACACUUGGACAUACAGAGAAACUUACCAGAAGAAUGGGUUUGGUGCCUUCGGAACUCUGAAUACAAGGUGCUGCAAUGGGCUGUCGUCAGCUCGUGUUGGUGGAGAUGUUGGGUUAAGUUCCCGCAACGGAAGCGCAACCCCUUAUUCCUUUAAGUUGCUAGCAAGGUUAAUUGGCUGAAGAAAACUCUCUAAAGAGAGAACUGGC